Long non-coding RNA from Armigeres subalbatus, 745 nucleotides. RefSeq lists it as uncharacterized. The transcript is spliced from 3 exons. The record is from RefSeq and is a predicted model, not a curated record. NCBI's taxonomy places the organism in Eukaryota, Metazoa, Arthropoda, Insecta, Diptera, Culicidae.
UUUUAUUGUAAUAUUAUUGUUUUUGUCUCUGAAAAUUUCAAUCAGCUCCUGAAGAUUGUUAUUUGAUUUAAUGGAUUAGGAUCAUAAUCCACUAAAUUAAUAACUAUUAAUGGUAAUGGGAAAACCGUCAUAUAUCAGAUCCCGACUGAGCUCCCAAGAAACUUUAACAGCAGAAGGCUAUGACCCAGCUGCGCACCUGGACUCUGGUUUGCUCUUUCGUUCGCGAAGCUCAACUAACCGCCAGCCACUGUACUUGUUCUAAUGAUAGAUAGUGAUAUGAUCACCAUCAUCAUCAUACGAGGAAGAAGUCCGCUUAGGCUCUGAGCAACCAAAAAUGUCCAGUAUCCAUAUACGAAAUAUUUUCCUUCAUUUGGAUGAUUCAUCUGCCAUGGUGUGCGCUUUUGGAAAACUUGUACAGCGAAUCCUGAUUAUUGCUGACAUUUUGAUGGCAAGUGCAUUUUGGAAUUUGCCACCCGAUAUGCCGAAUAUACUGUCGAUAUGCCAAAUAUACUGUUAAUACCCGGAUUGAUUCCACUCCGACCAGCAUGACUCGGUUCCAGCCACAACUUUGCGGGGAUUUUGUUAAUAUGUAUGUUAUUUAUCGUAGAGAUCAUUAUUAUUAACUUCCAUUAUACUUAUGUUAGUUGAUGCCAACAGUUGUAAUUGUAAUUGUAUUUUUUAUUGUAACAGUUUAUGUAAAUUCAAAUAACGAUGAUGUCAUUAAUAAAAUUAAAUUGAUUUAAAA